RNAcentral lists this ribosomal RNA (253 nucleotides) under uncultured bacterium. RNAcentral describes it as "partial 16S ribosomal RNA". It matches the Rfam family "Bacterial small subunit ribosomal RNA", at positions 524 to 776 of the family's 1533-position model. The record is from RNAcentral.
UACAGAGGUCUCAAGCGUUGUUCGGAUUCAUUGGGCGUAAAGGGUGUGUAGGUGGCGCCGUUAGUCGGGUGUGAAAUUUCGGAGCUUAACUCCGAAACUGCAUUCGAUACUGCGGUGCUUGAGGACUGGAGAGGAGACUGGAAUUCAUGGUGUAGCAGUGAAGUGCGUAGAGAUCAUGAGGAAGACCAGUGGCGAAGGCGGGUCUCUGGACAGUUCCUGACACUGAGACACGAAGGCCAGGGGAGCAAACGGG